RNAcentral lists this small RNA (221 nucleotides) under Histoplasma capsulatum. RNAcentral describes it as "hypothetical RNA". RNAcentral also lists the same sequence under 1 other name. Lineage: Eukaryota; Fungi; Ascomycota; Eurotiomycetes; Onygenales; Ajellomycetaceae. The record is from RNAcentral.
CUGAUGAGCAGGUUGACAAUGAGAAACUGCAUGAAUGGAGCAGCUUCUAGCUCAGCCCUUCCCAAACUGGCCCACAUCUUCUUCUUUCAGGUUAAGAAUUGACUUUGCAAUUUGAAUCAAAGUUCCACAUAGAACUCCCUAUAGUGAGCAAAGCCAGUAGGGACCCGUUUUUCCAUUAAUUCCUUCAGGUUAUUCAAAAACCCGAAAUUAUUUACAGAGGA